UCUCCGUAGGUGAACCUGCGGAGGGAUCAUUACAGAGCUCAUGCCCUACCGGGUAGAUCUCCCACCCUAUGUUAUUAUUACUUUGUUGCUUUGGCGGGCCGUUAGGCUCCGGCCCGAUUACCGGCCCCGGCUGGUAAGCGCCCGCCAGAGGACCCAAAACCCUGAAUAUUAGUGUCGUCUGAGUACUAUAUAAUAGUUAAAACUUUCAACAACGGAUCUCUUGGUUCUG
RNAcentral lists this unclassified non-coding RNA (229 nucleotides) under plant metagenome. RNAcentral's name for it is "partial contains small subunit ribosomal RNA, internal transcribed spacer 1, and 5.8S ribosomal RNA". The record is from RNAcentral.